GGCUUCUGUUACUUUUGUAAUAAAAGUCUAAUUGAAUUUACAAACUCUGGUAUCUGAGAAGUAUUUGAUUAAACAUUUUCCACAACAUUAGCGGGUUUUCUGUUGUGCAGUAAGCACACAUGAUGUGAUUUGGCCACCUAUAGACUGGGUGAAGUAAAAGGCCAGCAACACCGUAUUAUUCAGAGCCCAAUGAAAUGACACCACAUAUACAUAUCUAGUCUGCAUAACGCAUUAUAGACUUAUUUGUCGAUCUGUAAUGCUAGCUAGCUGUGCAGCCUGUUUGCAAUGGGCAGCAAGCUAGCUAGAUAUUUCUAGCUAGUAGUGCUGGAGAGACAUUAUCCAAAUAGAAGUUAAAUAUUAGCAGUGGUGAAGGAUCUGUUAUCCAGCCAGCUCAAACUUUACUUCAGGACUUCAGUCAGUCUGCUGUCUGCAGGUCAUACAAGCCAACAUAAAAUAUCAAUAGCAUCUACCCGACCUCUUAGCUGAAUGGUUAUUGACACGUUUCUACUAUAAGUUGUGGGACGUUUAUUUUGAAAAUGUAUGAAAUUUCGUGACCUGGAAGCACUUUUUUAGUGUUGCUGAUGAGUCACUGAUCAUGUGAGGAGUUCACAAAUCACAGGCCCCACUUGUAGUGCCACUGGACAGCAAAAAACAGGUUGGAACCAACAUUCAGUGCCUCCAGUAGGAAGAGAGGCUAGAACCAUGUGUCUGCCAGCACAGGGACAAGCUAACCUAUUCACAGUCCUGUGUAAUGUUCAAUGUAAUUUUAUUGCCAGACUUUUUGAAACAUUUUGAAACUAUUUGUAUUGUUUUAACAAUGUACAAAUAAAAGGAAAUGUAUGGUUUAAA
This is a long non-coding RNA of Salmo salar (Atlantic salmon), 849 nucleotides long. RefSeq lists it as uncharacterized. Lineage: Eukaryota; Metazoa; Chordata; Actinopteri; Salmoniformes; Salmonidae. The record is from RefSeq and is a predicted model, not a curated record.